Molecule: ribosomal RNA, 257 nt
Filed under: uncultured bacterium
Lineage: Bacteria
Description: partial 16S ribosomal RNA
Rfam family: Bacterial small subunit ribosomal RNA
Source: RNAcentral
CGCACGGGUGAGUAACACGUAUGCAACCUGCCUGCCACAGCCGGAUAAUCGGGAGAAAUUCCGUCUAAUACGGCAUAAUGCAUCGACGGGACAUCCUGUCGGUGCCAAAGGUUAAUUCCGGUGGCGGAUGGGCAUGCGUCGCAUUAGUUAGUUGGCGGUGUAACGGACCACCAAGACGACGAUGCGUAGGGGUUCUGAGAGGAAGGUCCCCCACACUGGUACUGAGACACGGACCAGACUCCUACGGGAGGCAGCAG